UCAUUUAUUUGUUUUAUAUAUAGUAAUGUACCAACUUGAUGGACGUGAGUUUGAGUAAGCUCCAGGAGUUGGUGAUGGACAGGGAAGCCUGGCAUGCUGCAGUCCACGGGGUUGCAGAGUCGGACACAACUGAGCAACUGAACUGACUGACUGAAUGUGCAUGUUAAUUCCACACUCCUCGUUUUACCUUAAGUUUUAAGUGGAUAGCCCCAACAGUUGAAAAAAAGGUGGACUCAGUGGGAUGUGUAUGACCUUCACUGCAUCGUUGAAUGAUUGCCCAUCAGAAAAAAACAAAAAGUGAAGGGCAACUCGGCAAGAAACGUAUCCUUGGAAUUGGUACAUAUCCAUGAAAUCUUGUGAUGCAUCUAUGAGGUGGUU
Long non-coding RNA from Dama dama (fallow deer), 378 nucleotides. RefSeq lists it as uncharacterized. Lineage: Eukaryota; Metazoa; Chordata; Mammalia; Artiodactyla; Cervidae. The record is from RefSeq and is a predicted model, not a curated record. The transcript has 3 exons.